This is a non-coding RNA of Theobroma umbraticum, 710 nucleotides long. NCBI's taxonomy places the organism in Eukaryota, Viridiplantae, Streptophyta, Magnoliopsida, Malvales, Malvaceae. The record is from RefSeq and is a predicted model, not a curated record.
UGUUGUUAGUGUAACGGAUGAACAAGGAUGCUGUUUUCUAAGAUAUAUGUUAGAAAACUACCAGUCAAAACGACUGGACUAGAGGCAGGCUGACACAUAGAAUGGUAGGUUUUUCUUCCAUCAACAAGUCAACCUUUCCAAAUUAGACAUUUACAUAUGUUCCUGUUGAAUGCUAAUCCUCCUGCUCUCACAGUUGAAACCACAUUCUCUGCUAUACACUCAAAACAAUUCAUCUUUCAUCUCUCCACAUAAUGGAUUCAGCUAUCAAAGUAUCCAAGACACAAUUCUUCCUAUUCUUAGAGAAAACCUGAUCAAGUUCCAUGCAAUUGAAGUCUUGCCAGGACCAAAAUAGCACCCAUUAUAAGAUGCAAGACCGAACAAACGGGGCGAUUUAACUGUAUACCAGUAGUCAAGGACAUAUUUCCACAAUUUCUCCCAAGAAUCUACAACCUCCUUACUUUGAACAAACUGACAGGUUCAGAAUCCUGAAGAUCAGCUCGUGACUACAAACACAAAACUAUCAGUUUUUUUGCUUUCUCUAUUGCUUUUCUGCUCUCUUUGCAGGGUACACAAGCCAUGUCCAAAAUCAUUACAAGCAUUAAUUCCUUUCGUUUUUUUCAUGAGUCAUCUUCAAUCUUUCAGCGUAUAGGAUGAUACUGGGUAAUACCUCGUUUUGGUGGCAACUUCCUCAAGAUGAAAAGGACCAAAGA